GUUUACAUGAUGAUUUAAAUAAUGUACUUGACUCAUAAUGAAAGCAAUACAUAAACGAGCUUUUUAACACUGAAAAAA
Small nucleolar RNA from Trichogramma pretiosum, 78 nucleotides. Lineage: Eukaryota; Metazoa; Arthropoda; Insecta; Hymenoptera; Trichogrammatidae. The record is from RefSeq and is a predicted model, not a curated record.